UGGGGAAUAUUGCACAAUGGGCGAAAGCCUGAUGCAGCAACGCCGCGUGAGGGACGACGGCCUUCGGGUUGUAAACCUCUUUUAGCAAGGAAGAAGCGAAAGUGACGGUACUUGCAGAAAAAGCGCCGGCUAACUACGUGCCAGCAGCCGCGGUAAUACGUAGGGCGCAAGCGUUAUCCGGAAUUAUUGGGCGUAAAGAGCUCGUAGGCGGUUUGUCGCGUCUGCUGUGAAAACCCGAGGCUCAACCUCGGGCCUGCAGUGGGUACGGGCAGACUAGAGUGCGGUAGGGGAGAUUGGAACUCCUGGUGUAGCGGUGGAAUGCGCAGAUAUCAGGAAGAACACCGAUGGCGAAGGCAGAUCUCUGGGCCCGUAACUGACGCUGAGGAGCGAAAAGGGUGGGGAGCAAACAGGCUUAGAUACCCUGGUAGUCCACCCCGUAAACGUUGGGAACUAGUUGUGGGGUCCAUUCCACGGAUUCCGUGACGCAGCUAACGCAUUAAGUUCCCCGCCUGGGGGAGUACGGCCGCAAGGCU
Molecule: ribosomal RNA, 533 nt
Filed under: uncultured bacterium
Lineage: Bacteria
Description: partial 16S ribosomal RNA
Rfam family: Bacterial small subunit ribosomal RNA
Source: RNAcentral